RNAcentral lists this ribosomal RNA (327 nucleotides) under Escherichia coli MRSN 10204. RNAcentral's name for it is "bacterial SSU rRNA". It matches the Rfam family "Bacterial small subunit ribosomal RNA", at positions 1 to 322 of the family's 1533-position model. Lineage: Bacteria; Pseudomonadati; Pseudomonadota; Gammaproteobacteria; Enterobacterales; Enterobacteriaceae. The record is from RNAcentral.
UUAAAUUGAAGAGUUUGAUCAUGGCUCAGAUUGAACGCUGGCGGCAGGCCUAACACAUGCAAGUCGAACGGUAACAGGAAGCAGCUUGCUGCUUUGCUGACGAGUGGCGGACGGGUGAGUAAUGUCUGGGAAACUGCCUGAUGGAGGGGGAUAACUACUGGAAACGGUAGCUAAUACCGCAUAACGUCGCAAGACCAAAGAGGGGGACCUUCGGGCCUCUUGCCAUCGGAUGUGCCCAGAUGGGAUUAGCUAGUAGGUGGGGUAAAGGCUCACCUAGGCGACGAUCCCUAGCUGGUCUGAGAGGAUGACCAGCCACACUGGAACUGA